GAAAUGCGAUACGUAGUGUGAAUUGCAGAAACCAGUGAAUCAUCGAGAUCUUGAACGCAAAUUGCGCCCGAAGCCUUCUGGCCGAGGGCACGUCUGCCUGGGCGUCACGCAUCGCGUCUCCCCCCAACCCACCAAGCGUGGGUUAUGGGGGAGGAGGAUGGCUUCCCGUGCCUCACCGGGCGCGGCUGGCCUAAAUAAGGAGCCUCAGGUCACGGACGGCUGCGGCGAUUGGUGAAUAAUCAACUCUAUCCGUGCAGUGCGUGGCCAUCGUGGACUCGUAGGACCCUGUGUUGUCCCCUUACACGGACAAACCGUUGCGACCCCAGGUCAGGCGGGGCUACCCGCUGAGUUUAA
This 354-nucleotide unclassified non-coding RNA is filed under the name uncultured Pezizomycotina. RNAcentral's name for it is "sequence contains ITS1". The stretch from base 1 to 107 matches the Rfam family "5.8S ribosomal RNA", at positions 50 to 154 of the family's 154-position model. Lineage: Eukaryota; Fungi; Ascomycota. The record is from RNAcentral.